RNAcentral lists this ribosomal RNA (506 nucleotides) under uncultured bacterium. RNAcentral's name for it is "partial 16S ribosomal RNA". It matches the Rfam family "Bacterial small subunit ribosomal RNA", at positions 29 to 526 of the family's 1533-position model. The record is from RNAcentral.
AUUGAACGCUGGCGGCAGGCCUAACACAUGCAAGUCGGACGGUAGCACAGAGGAGCUUGCUCCUCGGGUGACGAGUGGCGGACGGGUGAGUAGUGUCUGGGGAUCUGCCCGAUAGAGGGGGAUAACCACUGGAAACGGUGGCUAAUACCGCAUAACGUCGCAAGACCAAAGAGGGGGACCUUCGGGCCUCUCACUAUCGGAUGAACCCAGAUGGGAUUAGCUAGUAGGCGGGGUAAUGGCCCACCUAGGCGACGAUCCCCAGCUGGUCUGAGAGGAUGACCAGCCACACGGGAAAUGAGACACGGUCCAGACUCCUACGGGAGGCAGCAGUGGGGAAUAUUGCACAAUGGGCGCAAGCCUGAUGCAGCCAUGCCGCGUGUAUGAAGAAGGCCUUCGGGUUGUAAAGUACUUUCAGCGGGGAGGAAGGCGAUGUGGUUAAUAACCUUGUCGAUUGACGUUACCCGCAGAAGAAGCACCGGCUAACUCCGUGCCAGCCGCAGUAAGAC